Molecule: ribosomal RNA, 478 nt
Filed under: uncultured bacterium
Lineage: Bacteria
Description: partial 16S ribosomal RNA
Rfam family: Bacterial small subunit ribosomal RNA
Source: RNAcentral
GAUUAACGCUGGCGGCGUGCAUAACACAUGCAAGUCGAACGAUGAAACUCAUUAGAUUUCUUCGGAAUGAAAAUGAAUGGAUUAGUGGCGAACGGGUGAGUAACGCGUGAGUAACCUGCCUUACACAAGGGGAUAGCCUCUGGAAACGGAGAAUAAUACCCUAUGAAACCAGACAAUCGCAUGAUAAUCUGGUCAAAAUGUUUAGUGGUGUAAGAUGGACUUGCGUCUGAUUAGCUAGUUGGUGAGAUAAAAGCUCACCAAGGCAACGAUCAGUAGCCGGCUUGAGAGAGUGUACGGCCACAUUGGGACUGAGACACGGCCCAGACUCCUACGGGAGGCAGCAGUGAGGAAUUUUGCACAAUGGGGGAAACCCUGAUGCAGCGACGCCGCGUGAUUUAGAAGGCCUUCGGGUUGUAAAAAUCUUUUGUAUAGGAAGAAAAUGACAGUACUAUACGAAUAAGGUCCGGCUAAUUACGUG